Molecule: long non-coding RNA, 2582 nt
Organism: Vicia villosa (hairy vetch)
Lineage: Eukaryota; Viridiplantae; Streptophyta; Magnoliopsida; Fabales; Fabaceae
Exons: 4
Source: RefSeq, a predicted model, not a curated record
AUUUACUGUUCUGGAUUUUACCAAAAUACCCUUUGAUUAUCUUAGUCUAAAUUAAUAUUCUUGGGCAAAAAAAUGUCUUUUCUUGACCAUAUAAUAUUUUCAGUGGGCCAACGUUAACAUAAACCACAUUGUAUCCAAACCCCUACCGCCUUUAUCUCCUCUUCCCCAAUAUUUCUUGAAACCCUAAUUUGUUCUGCAAAAAGCCUGCUCUUCUUCUGCAGACAUGAAAGAUUUCACACGCUACCCUUUAUCUUUUCUUUCUUCACACACAAUCCUACCAUAUCUCUUCACAAGUUUUAUACUUCUCCAUCUCUCUCCACAACUGCUUGUCUUUUCCAACCAACAACAAAUACCUCUUCCAAUAAUCUCAAACUCAAAGAUCUUUUGAGAAAUUGAAGGACAUCAAUGAAAGUAAGGAGCUCUGAAAAAUUGUCGUCAUAAUCCAUCACAAAUGGAUAGUUUUAUCAAAGACCAAAGAGCACUUCGAAUUGAUUUUGGUUGAUAAAGAGGUUUGUUUGUUGUUUUUCGGUUUCCCCUUUAAUUUUAGGGUUUCGUUUCAUAUGCUGCUGUUUGUGUUUGAUUCCAAUUUUUAUAUUUAGUGUUUAGUUCUACUUCUACUUCCUCUGUUAUAAUUUUGAAUGCCUGUUCAUCGAUGGCUGUUUUUCUGUUUUCACUUUCAUUUGACGGUUUCGUUUCGUAUUCUGGUGUUGGUGUUUGAUUAGCAUUUUUUAGGCUUCAUUCGUUUGUUUGCGUUUGAUAUUACAUGGUUUCCAUCAAUGUUAAUUUGUUACUAACUUUUCUGCUUAUCGACGAAGUGCAUUAAUCUGUUUGCUUACCUUCUAAGCCUAUUGUAAGUUUCCUAGAUCUCUGUGAUUGAAGCUUGUGUUAUUUUGUGUUAUUCUUUACAUAACUAUUUCUGCUACAAGCUAGAAGAUUCAAUACUUUUGUGGGUGAAUCUAUUUUAUAAACUGAAUUCUAUCGACUAUCACUAUAGUGUGAGUGUGAUUUAUCCAUGGUGAGAUGAGGUUGUCUAGAAAGUGACAUUUGACAAUCAAUGUUGGUGCAUAAGCAAGAUGUGGAACAACUCUAGACAUGGUGUUGUAGUUGUUAGAUACAUCGCACUCAAACGAUUUAAAACACUUUUUAAAAAAGUAUAACAUACUUUAGAUGCUAAGGAAUCAGGAAAAUGGGGUUAUGACCAGGCUGGUUGUAGCUGUUUGUGACUACCCCUAUUGUGUUUUUCUGGGAUAGCUCAAGACAAUCCGUGAAGGGUUACAAGAAAUUGUUGGAUUAUUCCCUUGCAAUCAGGUACUUUAUUAGAGAUUAUUCAGACUCUUCUAGGACUAGAACAAAUGCUAAUGGAUGAAAUCAUGAUUUUAGGCUGUAACACUCUCACAAUUGUAUUAAAACUGAUUGUCUCAAACUAUAUUGGAAAAAGAAGGAACUAGAAUUUGAAUAACUAUCAAAGUUGAAAAAUAUAUGAAGGUGAAAGUUAAGGGAAAAGAAGGGAGAGCUUCAAAAAAACAGUGUCCCUACUUAAAAGCUCUUGCUUUCUGUAAAAAUGAGAGGUAUACUGGCACAGAGGAAUACAUUAGGUGGUGAUAGUCUUUCAGAUCUAAUAUGGCUUCAUGUGAAUAAAUUUUCACUUUCAUUGCAACUUGAGGUAUUCUCUCAUGGGAAAGUAGUAUACUAUUUUUUUCUUUGUUUCAGAUCAUGUUAUGUCAUUCACGUGGUUUCUACUUUAUUGGUUUAAACUAUCUAUUAUUCAUAAGGUUUCUUUCUUUCUAAUUUAUAUCACUUAUGUUGGUGGCUUUAAUCAAAUAAAGACCAUAGCUACCAUAAAUUAAUGAUAUACUUUUCUUUCUAAUGUAACUUCCUGGAAGUGGUUUAGUUGUAAUAUCAUAUUUUAUUCAAUAAAGCUAAAUUGAUUUUCAUGACUUAUCAAAUGAUAUCCAAAUAGUGAAACUCAAUUGUAUAUGUAUAAUUUGUUACAAUCCCAAUCUCACUAUAUACUAAUUCUUUUUGAUACCAUGAUCCAUUUACUAACUUGAUUAAUGUUUGGGUAUGUUACUUGAAGUUCCUAGAUAUAUGUAGUUGAUAAGGAUAUCCUUACUUGCAGCAGAAACUGAGAAAGGAUUCAAGGUCAUCGGUGAUGAGUCCACGUGCAUCGUUUCGACUCUCAACAUUGGCGAAAGUCUUUCGGUGAAAACUUUUUUUAACAUUGGUAAUUACUGUCAUUUAUUCAGCAAGACUUCAAUCUUACUGUACUUGAAAUUAAACACAACCUGAAAUUACUGUCACCGUAAUCACUGUUCUCUCUUGGUGAACAUAUGGUAGGCUUUCUCAAUUCCAAAAAUUUAAUUCAUAACAUUAACUUUAUAUUAGUUAUUAGUAAAAUAUGAGGUUGGUUUUCUCCACUUAACAUUGAGUGUAAGCUUGUCUCGGUUUUAGCCGUAUUUACUCGUAUGGCAACGAAUGAGGACACUUUUACCACACACAUACAUACAGCUUCAACUAUAGUUUAUGAACUACAAAUAUUGCUUUAUCACUGUGUUUAUUUAGCCAAACAGUUUCUUUUCUUA